GGUGAUGUAGCUCAGCUGGUUAGAGCGAUGGAUUCAUAAUCCAUAGGUCGAGGGUUCGAGUCCCCCCAUCACCA
Molecule: transfer RNA, 74 nt
Filed under: Candidatus Methylopumilus turicensis
Lineage: Bacteria; Pseudomonadati; Pseudomonadota; Betaproteobacteria; Nitrosomonadales; Methylophilaceae
Rfam family: tRNA
About the family: Transfer RNA (tRNA) molecules are approximately 80 nucleotides in length. Their secondary structure includes four short double-helical elements and three loops (D, anti-codon, and T loops).
Source: Rfam by way of RNAcentral